Molecule: transfer RNA, 90 nt
Filed under: Spirosomataceae bacterium TFI 002
Lineage: Bacteria; Pseudomonadati; Bacteroidota; Cytophagia; Cytophagales; Spirosomataceae
Description: Cytophagales bacterium TFI 002 tRNA_Ser_GCT
Rfam family: tRNA
About the family: Transfer RNA (tRNA) molecules are approximately 80 nucleotides in length. Their secondary structure includes four short double-helical elements and three loops (D, anti-codon, and T loops).
Source: RNAcentral
GGAGGGAUGGGUGAGUGGCUGAAACCACCAGUUUGCUAAACUGACGUACUGGAAACGGUACCGCGGGUUCGAAUCCCGCUCCCUCCGCAA